UGGUUCUGGCAUCGCUGAAGAACGCAGCGAAAUGCGAUAAGUAAUGUGAAUUGCAGAAUUCAGUGAAUCAUCGAAUCUUUGAACGCACAUUGCGCCCUUUGGUAUUCCGAGGGGCACGCCUGUUCGAGCGUCAUUUAAACCAUCAAGCCUAGCUUGGUCUUGGACGAGGUCGAGUGACCUGUCCGUAACCCGUUGGCGGUGCAGUCCGGCUUCAAGCGUAGCAAAAAUUUCGCUUCAGAAGUCCGCGGCGGCGCCUGCCAGGCAAUUACACUCAAAGUUUGACCUCGGAUCAGGUGAGGAUACCCGCUGA
RNAcentral lists this unclassified non-coding RNA (310 nucleotides) under uncultured fungus. RNAcentral's name for it is "partial contains 5.8S ribosomal RNA and internal transcribed spacer 2". The stretch from base 1 to 133 matches the Rfam family "5.8S ribosomal RNA", at positions 22 to 154 of the family's 154-position model. The record is from RNAcentral. Lineage: Eukaryota; Fungi.